RNAcentral lists this unclassified non-coding RNA (391 nucleotides) under Hevea brasiliensis (rubber tree). The record is from RNAcentral. Lineage: Eukaryota; Viridiplantae; Streptophyta; Magnoliopsida; Malpighiales; Euphorbiaceae.
UAAGUCAGCCCAACAAGUGGAGUGAAAAAAGUCAUUUAAAGAAGUUAAGCACACAAAACGAAUAAAGAAAGAGAAUUUGGCUAGGGAAAAUUGCAUUGCUCUUGAAGUAAUAUUUUACUAGACUUUUGUGUACAAGUUUUAAUACACUUGAAAAUAUGAAAUAUGAAUGCAAAUGACAUACCUAAAUCCCUAUUUAUAGGCUUCCCCCAUCCUCCUCAACAUGUGGUGGAGAAUGCACCUCCAAAAUGGAAGGCAAGGAUUCGAUCUCUUUCAUCUCCAUAGUUUGGAUGGCUUGGAUGAAGUCUCUUUGGAAGUUGUGCACCUCUUUAACUAGAUAUUUUCAUGACAACUUGCAUGAGGAAUUCUAGAGUUCCUUAGAGGCUAUUCAAAG